CAAGGUUUCCGUAGGUGAACCUGCGGAAGGAUCAUUGUCGAUACCUUGUCGUAUGACCCGCGAACAAGUUUAAUCACCGCGGAAGGAGCCCUGUGCUCCUGAAGCAAGGCCCGUGGGGUGCUAUGCUCCUUGCGGAAGCCACGUAAACAAACCCCGGCGCGGAAAGCGCCAAGGAAAAUGAACAGAAAAGCGAGAUCUCUACAAUCACCUCGGAAACGAUGUGUGCAUGGUAGUUGUUUCUCCUUUCAUAACCAAAACGACUCUCGGCAACGGAUAUCUCGGCUCUCGCAUCGAUGAAGAACGUAGCGAAAUGCGAUACUUGGUGUGAAUUGCAGAAUCCCGUGAACCAUCGAGUCUUUGAACGCAAGUUGCGCCCAAAACCCUCGGGUCGAGGGCACGUCUGCCUGGGUGUCACGCAACGUCGCCCCAUCACUCCCCUCAUGCGGGACUCGUGAAAUUGGGGCGGAAAUUGGCCUCCCGUGAACUUMAAGAUCGUGGUUGGCCCAAACAUGAGACCAUGUCGGUCAAUGCCGUGGCAUUCGGUGGUUGAAAAUACCCUCACAACGCCUCGUUCAUUGGCCGUACUACAAGGAUCUCACCGACCCUACUUAUCCGACGCGACCCCAGGUCAGGCGAGAUUACCCGCUGAGUUUA
RNAcentral lists this ribosomal RNA (654 nucleotides) under Glochidion puberum. Its description in RNAcentral is "eukaryotic LSU rRNA". Lineage: Eukaryota; Viridiplantae; Streptophyta; Magnoliopsida; Malpighiales; Phyllanthaceae. The record is from RNAcentral.